CAACUUACUUGGCGCCGGGACCAAGAGGAUUACGAAUGCCUUGGCCUCAAGUGGGGGCUCGCCCUUGCACUCUGGCGGGUUGAAGCCUGCGACGAUCCCUAAUCGGGAUCUCUCGGACGCGCAGAUUUUGACAGUGGGGACGUCCUCGGACGAUCCCUU
RNAcentral lists this small nuclear RNA (159 nucleotides) under Echinostoma caproni. RNAcentral's name for it is "U1 spliceosomal RNA". It matches the Rfam family "U1 spliceosomal RNA". Rfam says of the family: U1 is a small nuclear RNA (snRNA) component of the spliceosome (involved in pre-mRNA splicing). Its 5' end forms complementary base pairs with the 5' splice junction, thus defining the 5' donor site of an intron. The record is from Rfam by way of RNAcentral. Lineage: Eukaryota; Metazoa; Platyhelminthes; Trematoda; Plagiorchiida; Echinostomatidae.